Long non-coding RNA from Juglans microcarpa x Juglans regia, 204 nucleotides. RefSeq lists it as uncharacterized. NCBI's taxonomy places the organism in Eukaryota, Viridiplantae, Streptophyta, Magnoliopsida, Fagales, Juglandaceae. The transcript is spliced from 2 exons. The record is from RefSeq and is a predicted model, not a curated record.
GCUCAAGGCGAAUAUUAAGCGGGAGAUAAGCUCUCAGAUGUGAAAUUUCGUUCACCAGCUAGCAUACCAUGGAUAGCCCUGUAGUACCAGAGUUGAUCUCUCUAUUCAUGCACAAGCAUCAAUCUGUGUAAGCCGAAAUAUGAGAUGGUGGGAGAAGAACCAAAAAGAAAAGAAGAAAAAAGAGUAAGAAGACACGGAAGAAAA